UAGUCAACGGCUCGUCAACGGCUGCGGGGACAAGUCCGUUGAGGCUGCCAGGCGAGUCAGGCCUUUCUGGACCUCGCCUGACUCGGCUGGGCUGUGCCUGAAAUUGACCCAGCUCCACUAGGAAUUAUGAAGAAACAAGGAGUAAGCCCAAAGCCGCUGCAAUCUUCCCGCCCCAGCCCGUCUAAGCGGCCCUGCGGGGCCUCCCCCGCCCGGGAGCGGGAGGUGGAAAAGUCGGCCCUAGGCGGCGGGAAACUGCCGGGGGGCGCCAGGAGGUCCUCCCCGGGGAGGAUCCCAAAUCUGAAAAAGCGAAAAGGCUUGGAGCUAAAGGUGGUGGCCAAGGCCCUUCUCGGCCCCUUCCAGUUCGUCUGUAAUUCCCUGGCGCAGCUCCGGGAAGAGGUGCACGAACUGCAGGCGCGGUGGUUCCCCAGCAGAACCACUCUGCAUCGGUAAGGAGAGGUCAGGAGAGCCCUAGGAGGGAGGCGCAUCGCGCUUUUCUUCAGUCUUGAAGGAGAUCAGUUUAACAAGCAA
Molecule: long non-coding RNA, 528 nt
Organism: Homo sapiens (human)
Lineage: Eukaryota; Metazoa; Chordata; Mammalia; Primates; Hominidae
Gene: DPY19L2P2
Product: DPY19L2 pseudogene 2
Source: Ensembl